UACGGGGGGGGCAAGCGUUGUUCGGAAUUACUGGGCGUAAAGGGCUCGUAGGUGGCCAACUAAGUCAGACGUGAAAUCCCUCGGCUUAACCGGGGAACUGCGUCUGAUACUGGAUGGCUUGAGUUCGGGAGAGGGAUGCGGAAUUCAGGUGUAGCGGUGAAAUGCGUAGAUAUCGUGAGGAAGACCAGUGGCGAAGGCGGAUCUCUGGACAGCUCCUGACGCUGAGGCGCGAAGGCUAGGGGAGCAAACGGG
This 252-nucleotide ribosomal RNA is filed under the name uncultured bacterium. RNAcentral's name for it is "partial 16S ribosomal RNA". It matches the Rfam family "Bacterial small subunit ribosomal RNA", at positions 524 to 776 of the family's 1533-position model. The record is from RNAcentral.